RNAcentral lists this microRNA (23 nucleotides) under Eptesicus fuscus (big brown bat). RNAcentral describes it as "efu-miR-9335". Lineage: Eukaryota; Metazoa; Chordata; Mammalia; Chiroptera; Vespertilionidae. The record is from miRBase by way of RNAcentral.
UGAGAUCACACACGAGUCCCCCU